GGAUGAUGCCGACGUGAGGUUCGCAAGCAAUGGCGUUCCACUCUGCUGCAACCAAGGCGCGUUCAUAUGAGGCGUCGAUUCCAUGAUGUUGAAUAGCGAGCUGCGCGCUGGCAGCCUCUUUCGACUAUCAGAAAAUCGAUGCACCGCAAUGCACCUAUGCGACAAAGCAAUACGUCGGUUACAGAAUCUUGCGCGCUGAAAGA
Molecule: unclassified non-coding RNA, 203 nt
Filed under: Hevea brasiliensis (rubber tree)
Lineage: Eukaryota; Viridiplantae; Streptophyta; Magnoliopsida; Malpighiales; Euphorbiaceae
Source: RNAcentral